AUUCUACGGGAGGCAGCAGUGGGGAAUAUUGCACAAUGGGCGCAAGCCUGAUGCAGCCAUGCCGCGUGUAUGAAGAAGGCCUUCGGGUUGUAAAGUACUUUCAGUAGGGAGGAAGGUGGUUAAGCUAAUACCUUAAUCAUUUGACGUUACCUACAGAAGAAGCACCGGCUAACUCCGUGCCAGCAGCCGCGGUAAUAAU
RNAcentral lists this ribosomal RNA (199 nucleotides) under uncultured bacterium. RNAcentral describes it as "partial 16S ribosomal RNA". It matches the Rfam family "Bacterial small subunit ribosomal RNA", at positions 335 to 526 of the family's 1533-position model. The record is from RNAcentral.